Molecule: long non-coding RNA, 878 nt
Filed under: Pogona vitticeps (central bearded dragon)
Lineage: Eukaryota; Metazoa; Chordata; Lepidosauria; Squamata; Agamidae
Description: lncRNA (ENSPVIG00000003948.1)
Source: RNAcentral
CUGUAUGUAACACAGGGAAUCCUAAUCACUCCCACAGAAGCUGCACGGGAGUGGCAUGGAGGUGAAGGGGCUGUCACUCCUCUGACGUUGGCCUGGGGAGGUCCCACUGAAUUGUGACACUGGGUAUUCUUGAAUUCCAAAAAUCCCAAUCCGAGGAAUUAUCCCUGAUCUUUCGUGUUCUAAGACAUUUUACCAUAUGUCCAAAGGCAGCCAGAAGUUUGAAAUUAAUCUUGAUCCACAUCCAUCGAAGUAGUAGGGCCAUGUCUCCUGACAUUAUGAAACCCGUGCUGAUGUUCUGGGCAGAACAUCUAUAUCUGGCAUGGUUGGCAAGAGUCCAGUGUCCUUUCUCCAUCUUCUGUAUCAGGAAGUGUCUGGAAGAAGGAGCUAUUCUUUGCUCAUGUUAGCAGGAUGGAGGAGGAAACACUUUCCAUCAGUGCAUGCAGGUAGCAGCUAAGCACCCAUCUUGAAACUGAGCUGGAAUCGGCAGACACCAGCUGAGAGUGGCUGGCUUUUCUCCACCUCCUUCCCCAAUGGGGAAAGGGAAAUGAGCAGCGAAACCAUCUGAGUACAAUCCCAUGAUGAAAUAUAUCACCCUUUGGACCACUUGUCAAGCAUACUGUUGCAAUCUCUUCCCCACAACACCUGGGGAAAUGUGCUCCAGCCUGACCCUGAUCCAUGCCCAAGUGGGACCUUUUUCAGCUGCAUAACCUCUUCCUUUAGAGGGCAGGCUGAAGCAAUUCCCUGGCAGACAGAAGAACCAAUUUAAGGGAGAUCACUCCCACUAAAGAGGUCCUUUCUGGUGUGAUCAGGCAUGCACCUUUGCAGCCAUCUGAUUUCACGCUCAGAUAACAUUUCUAGGUGCCAGCUGAGUCCUGGAU